GGAUGUGAGGGCGAUCUGGCUGCGACAUCUGUCACCCCAUUGAUCGCCAGGGUUGAUUCGGCUGAUCUGGCUGGCUAGGCGGGUGUCCCCUUCCUCCCUCACCGUUCCAUGUGCGUCCCUCCCGAAGCUGCGCGCUCGGUCGAAGAGGAGGACCAUCCCCGAUAGAGGAGAGGACCGUUCUUCGGUCAAGGGUAUACGAGUAGCUGCGCUCCCCUGCUAGAACAAUUCUUUUUUUUAAAUUUCUUUUCAGUGUUCCAGAAUUCAUUAUUUAUGCACCACACCCACUGCUCCAUGCAAU
RNAcentral lists this small nuclear RNA (298 nucleotides) under Neogale vison (American mink). RNAcentral describes it as "Neovison vison (American mink) 7SK RNA (ENSNVIG00000001638.1)". It matches the Rfam family "7SK RNA". Rfam says of the family: 7SK was discovered as an abundant small nuclear RNA in the mid-70s but a possible function has only recently been suggested. Two independent studies have found that 7SK RNA binds the CDK9/cyclin T complex (known as elongation factor P-TEFb). Lineage: Eukaryota; Metazoa; Chordata; Mammalia; Carnivora; Mustelidae. The record is from Rfam by way of RNAcentral.